Long non-coding RNA from Neopsephotus bourkii (Bourke's parrot), 1778 nucleotides. RefSeq lists it as uncharacterized. The record is from RefSeq and is a predicted model, not a curated record. Lineage: Eukaryota; Metazoa; Chordata; Aves; Psittaciformes; Psittacidae. The transcript has 5 exons.
CAGCACACCAGAGAGACAGAGAGGGAGCUACCAUCCGGCUGACUAGCCGGGAGAAACAGAGCACAGAAGGAGCUGGGCAAGGAAGAAGAGGCAUUUCUCUGAAGGAGAGAAAGAGAGAAUGCGAGCCCCACCCACAGGACCAGGUUGAAACCUCUAGACUUGAAAGCUGUCCAAGACGAUGACAGAUCUGCAUGACUAACUGGAGAGUCUCGUCUCACAAUAAUGUGACUUUUGUUGCUGAACCCUUUCCAAUCUCAGCUGCAUUGCCAGGACAGAAUAAAAUAGGACAUUCUGCAUUUCAGGACGAGCUGGUAUUCAGAGAGCAGUACUAGUCUGACCUCUCAUAAUGAAGAAUGGCUUCUUAUAUUAGCAGUGUUCAGAGAGGACUAGUCCUAUCUGAAAUAUACUCAUUUAGUGGAACAACUACGGAAGCAGCAUCCCUGGAGAGUAUUACAGCCAUGAAAUAAUUAUCUGCCUCACCAGGUGAGUUGCAUGUUGUCCAUAGCUGGACUAUGAGCGCAGCUGUCAGGAAUAAGUUAGAUUGACAGAGUAAAAGUCUAUUCUGAAAUGAAAGAAAAAAAUAUUUAGGAAGAAAAACCUACACCAGAGAAGCCUGUAUGUUUGGAUAAUUCCACAAAAACAGUCCCAGUUUAGCAAAGAAAAUUAACUGUCUGCUUUACUGGCAUCUCUGCAAACUUUCUCCCUGGGAACAAAGAACCAGGACUGGGAGAUUCCUUCCUAAUGUGACUUCCAGACAUACAGCCCCCACCAGUCUUGCUAAACACAUACUGCUGUUACAGUAUGUCUGCACUUGACAGUCAUGUAAUUCUUUGACCAUUUUUAAACUUCAGGAGAGACGGACUCCAUGCUCAUCAUCAUUCCUGCUCCCCUCUUCCCCCCACCCUCCCAAUCUCAGUGCCUUGAUACCCAGACUGGGAGGCUGUGGCAUUAACCACAGCUCUUACCUCUCCAAAAGAAAGGACACAAGAGGCAAACUUUGAGCCAGGACAUGGCCAGCAAAUACACAGGACCCAAGCAGACACUUCCAUGCAUGUCAUCUAUCACAGGUAUUGAUGGACACAUGGAAAGUUUGAGGUCUUGUGAAAAAAAAAGAGUCAGGCAAGAGUUUAGUUUGCGGGCAUUAAGAGCACUGCCUAGGGAUUACCUGUCAGGACACUUAUGAACUCCACAUGAGCUAACUUUAUAAAAAAAAAAAUGUUUCUUUUGCACAAGUCAUGAUUGGAUAGUGACUGAAGAGGAAAACACACAGAACAAAACAAUGCAGAUUAAAACAGCAUUUCUUAAUGAAGCCUUGUGGCUGCUGCUUUCCAGUAUGUUGAAUGCUGAUAGUUCAAAUACCAGAACAUAAGAUUUAUUUGGAUUAUAAAUAGAUGUCGCCCUGUGCGUCAGUAUCAGAAGCACUCUGUUGUGUAAACAGAAAACUGUUGGGGGCUUUUUCUACUCUUAAAAAUUACUUGAAAGCUCCUGGCCACUCUUUGCUGACAGCCUUUUUCACCUGUUGGAGUUCCGUGUCUCUCUUGUGUAUCAUCACCUCUACAGCCUACAACAAGAAGCUGUUAAAAUGUCUUUUUUCAUAUGCCCUUUUCUCUGCUCUCUUGGUUGAUUUCCAGCUGGCUACACUACUCUGUUAGUUUUUAGCCACCCAGUUUAUUGAACUUGUCUUGGUUUUGGCAUUGUCCUGAUUUCCAUUAUAAUAUAUUUGCCUCUGGGGAAACACGGUUGCUACUAACUCCAGUGCCUCUUAUUUGUUUUGGAAA